AGGGCUUAAAGCAGUGGGAGGUGAUAGAGGUAGGAGACAUCUGUGUCGUGAAGAGGUUAGUGGGGGUCAAGUAUAUGUUAACAAUAGGCGAGCGUGGUCCCUCUCGGGCAGCCUGCCUACUCUUUCUUUCUCUCGCUCGCUUUUACUGGGUGGACAUCUAACUUGCUCCCUAAUGAUGCCUCCCCGGCUUUAAGAGUCCAGACUGCCCUGCAGUAACCCAAGACAAACACUUUCUCUAGCCAUCUGGAGAGCUCCUGGCUGCUCUGCCUGUGUCUCAUCACUGUGUGAAGAGACAGCAGUGCUAGAAAUCAAGCCACUCUCAGAUCUACUCUCUAAUCCCCUUCUGUUAGCUGAUUUCCAGUCAGACUGUUUGCUUUUGCAUUAGAUAAUAGCCUUAGAGAAAACAAUUAUCAUUUUCUUUUUUCCUUUGUUUUUUCCUUUUUCUAAAGUACAGUAUCGAGGAAGUCCUCCCUCUCUUAUUUUAAAAGAAAUUUAUAGUCUUUCAUGGCUUGAAGAACCCAGAUGCAAUUUCACACUUUCUUGGAAGGGGAUUCUGGAUUCUUCUGAAAGCAGCGACAUGAUCACAACUGCAGUGAAAAUUAAUUACUAUCAUCUACAAUUAAUAGAAGCAUGCCACCAUUUGACUUCGUGUUUCAUUACAUAAUCAUUUCGACAAACUGGAAAAGUAGAAGUAAUGAAAAAAUUAUGUCUUACAGAAGAGAGAAGUAUUUUUCCCCUUUCACUGGCAGCUUUCUUUUUGAAAACUUUUAAAGAUGCAAGUUAAGAGGACAUACAGUGACACAGGUUAUAAACUGUGUCUCUAAAUCAUCCAAGAAACCCAAGGAUCUGUGACUUCAAAGUUGCUUUCACCACCUACAGGACAUGGUGCUGCAAAAGGUCCAGCUUACAGCAGCCCCAGCCACUUUCCAAGCAUCUGAACAAGAAAGUGUCACAAAACUUCUGAUUUUAUCCCCAAGGUUUUGGAGCUAGUUACUUGGAACUCUUGUACCCAUAUACUGCUCUUCAACUGAGUAAAUAUCAGAGUUGCUCAUGUUUCUUUUGUAAUAACUUCACUUCUGAAGGGCAAAAUACAAUUCUUAGAAAAAUAUACAGGAAACCUGAAGACUUGUUAAUUACAAGCAAGUAGUCUUAGACUUUGUUUGUCUCUGCCUGCUGGAGCCAUGGAUGGUCACUGAUAAAUGCCUGAGCUAGCAGGGUUAGAUCACUGAAACCUGUGUAGCAAUAGUGCAAAAGCCACGUGUGAUUAGUUUAACACGGCUGGUUUCUGCAGUGAUGCCAGUGCAUCAAAAGGACACCAACUUACACUUUGGUUUGAUGGCCACUUGUACUGACAAGAGUGAUCUCCACAAGUUUCCAGAUGAGCUUAAUGUGAACAGAUUUUACAGUAGGGGAAUUUGUCUGUAUUUCAAAUGUGUGAAUGAUCUCUCUAGUCUAAAGAGUACUGUAUUAAUAAAAUGGGAAUCAUGGGGCUCUCAUUAGACAUUAUCAAGACCAAGAACAUGCUAUAUCAUUCUUUUUGUGCCCAUAUGGUUGCCCAAUAUUGUCUCUCUAUUGGAUUGUGCUUGGUUUUGGCAUCUGAAAGCUAUCUGGAACAAUAAGCUACAGGUUUCCAAUCAUGUCCAUGUAAUUGGAGUAGCACCAUACCAAGACCAUAGCUGCUGGCAUCUGCUGAAACAGCUGUAGACUGAGAAAUAUCAUAAAAUGCCAGAACUGGGAAUGUAGUCAAUAGAGCCUUUAAACUCUCAAAAGCACACUC
Long non-coding RNA from Passer domesticus (house sparrow), 1777 nucleotides. RefSeq lists it as uncharacterized. The record is from RefSeq and is a predicted model, not a curated record. The transcript is spliced from 4 exons. Lineage: Eukaryota; Metazoa; Chordata; Aves; Passeriformes; Passeridae.